RNAcentral lists this ribosomal RNA (112 nucleotides) under uncultured eukaryote. RNAcentral's name for it is "partial small subunit ribosomal RNA". It matches the Rfam family "Eukaryotic small subunit ribosomal RNA", at positions 1676 to 1808 of the family's 1831-position model. The record is from RNAcentral.
UCGCUACUACCGAUUGAAUGGUAUAGUGAGGUCUCCGGAUUGCCUAAAUGGCGAGAUGUUGAACAAACUAUUUCAUUUAGAGGAAGUAAAAGUCGUAACAAGGUUUCCGUAG